Molecule: transfer RNA, 74 nt
Filed under: Loxodonta africana (African savanna elephant)
Lineage: Eukaryota; Metazoa; Chordata; Mammalia; Proboscidea; Elephantidae
Rfam family: tRNA
About the family: Transfer RNA (tRNA) molecules are approximately 80 nucleotides in length. Their secondary structure includes four short double-helical elements and three loops (D, anti-codon, and T loops).
Source: Rfam by way of RNAcentral
CCCUGUAUGGUGCAAAUGGUCAGCAUGCUUGGCUGCUGACCUAAAGGUUGGAGGUUCAAGUCCACCCAUAGGCA